Molecule: long non-coding RNA, 6457 nt
Organism: Apis cerana (Asiatic honeybee)
Lineage: Eukaryota; Metazoa; Arthropoda; Insecta; Hymenoptera; Apidae
Source: RefSeq, a predicted model, not a curated record
GCUGCCGAUUUCGGUGAAAAAGUUCUAACCAACGAUCCAGGUUUGGACUCGACACCUUUUGUUAACCGAAGAUCGUCUUUCGUUGGCGCGUCCUUUAAAAUCAGAUAGUGGAUCCAGUGUAGCGCUGGCGUCGAGGCAGGCAACUUGAUAUUAUUUGUCACUGCUCAGUCAGGUAGAUUGAACUCGAUGGAAUCGUAGAAAAGGGAUUAAGGGUAUCCAAAUAUCCAAGUCCUGGCUAAUAACGAAGCUAAGCAUCGAGCAACAAGUAUCGACCUAAAGUCUUGGUUUAUUUUUUGGUUGUCCCAUCAUUGGUCAGUCGUUUCUAACCUCAACAAUAAAUACCUUAGCACCCUCUACUUAUUUCUCUCAUUUUCAUUUUCUAUGGAUUCAUUACACUUAACAAAAGGUUUAUUAUUUAAAAAGGAUUUACGUUAAUUCGCCGGAUUCUUUGCUGUCUAACAAGAACACAAGGAUCAAUCCUAAACAAGUGAUUAUCCGUUUGGGUUCCGAAUGGAAACCGAAAAUUGAAAUAUGGUUCCUGUGUUGUUAAAUCUCUAGGAUGAAGAAAGGAACACAUUGGAAAUAGUGAACGAAACAAACGAAAUAUUCCUUCGAUAAAGUAACAAGGAACACCCAGUAUACGCAAGAGGGGAAGAUGUUAGAAAUUCUUGGUCGUACGGUGUAACGCUCCGUUGACACGAUGAUGGAUCGUCCACCUUGACCGGACAGGUUGUUGUACAAGUAACAGGAUUCUCGUUCAAUUAAUUGCGUUAUUCAGAAACGAUCAAUCAGCAAUUAGCAAUGUACUGUCCAGCUUGGGGUGACCAGACUGUGUAAUCUAAAGAUUGAAAACAGACUAGAACAAGAGCGGUGCAGCCAGCAGCACGAGACGACGCUGACUCUAAUUAUGAAUCUUGAGACCUUGGCCACCCCUGAUCGGUACGUUUACGUCGGCCUCGCCAGGUCUCGCCGUUUGUUUUUCCCUGCCAAUUUGCACCGAGAUCUCGAGUCUGCGACACGAGAUACGCCAUUGGCGGAACAAGACGGAGGAACAAGCUGAGAGGACGAGGAGCACGAAGAGGAAGAGGAUGCAGGAAGAAAAAGGAGAUCGGGCUGGUCACACAUGACAAUGUACGACGAAGGCAUGAUGGAUGAGGGGGCGGCUAGUUUACGUGAUCGAGACAUGAUCGCUGGCAGACGGGGUGGUCCGUCUGUCCGUUUCUUUUCUCUUUCUUUCACAUUGGAAUGGCUCGUCCGGUGUGUUUCGCCCUUUCCACGUAGUGCACGUAAUACACGAGAACUCGAACCACCCCUGUCACCGGUCUGACCGAUCUUAUUGUCAUAUUCUAUGGACACAGGAGAAGCUGCUCUCUUAAGGCGAAUUUACACUUUUUCAUUUUGGAUAUUCAUUCUGAAUAAUUUAUUCACUCAUCUUUAUAAGGAAGAUGAAAAUUGGAAUAUUUAUAGAUAAAUGUUUGUUCAACGAUUGAAUUCGUAUAAAGUAUUGUGCCUCAGAAGAAGUUUUAUAAAAGAAAUGCAGAUUGGCUAUUUUCUAGAAUCAUGAAAAUAGAAAAAAUAAUAUAAUUUAUUAUAUGGAUCAUUGCAAAAUUGAGAUGCAGAAUGCAUCAGUUAUCCAAGAAGGAUCCCGACGAAACGUCGCUGAAAUUUAUAUGGACAUAUCGUGGAUAGAGGGCACAAAACUCACGCUGUGACUUUCUUAUGAGUCGUACGGGAGCACGCAGCGACUUUUUGAUGAAGGAACGAAACCACGCGUUUUCUCAUCAAGAAUCUCGCGGAGAAACCAGUAGCCCCUCGUCGAAGUAUCCCGCUGAUCUUUCUCUCCUUCUUAGUCUCUCGAUUCUCUGUUAACCGGAGGAUCUUUGUGAAGUUCUGACACGAGGAAUGCUUUGCCGGUGCCGAGAGGAGGCCAAGAGGACGCUUGUUCGUGCUACCGGCUCGAAACGCGAACCUUCCAAUGUCUCAUCUUCCUCUUGUCUUUCCUUUCUGUAUCCUCCGCGCCAUGGUGCGCCGUCGUGCCCUGACGUUUCGUUUCUGGCGUUCUGACGUUGAUUCUUCGGAUAUAUCGGGCCCGCAGGGGUAGAGGGGCCCGCGCGAAAUCCUGCUCGGAUGUCUAGUUUGAAGAAUUCUUAAUUAAAUCUUGCUUGGACGUCCUUUUGAUAACGGUUGGCAUGGAGGAUUGAGAACUGUGGGGUGAAUACGAGAUAUGUUCCAGUCAUUCCAAACGUUUUCCUCGAUUAAUUCGAUCAUUCGGCAUUUUACUACAUCGAUCUAAAAUCGAAAAAAAUAAAAAAGAUUCGAAAGCGGAGAGCCUUCAAACAAUGGGACGCGAGACAGCUUCAUAUCCAUGAGACGUGGCCACGAGCCCGGAAAAAAUUCGAACCGACACGUUCGAACGAUUCGAAAAUUCGGUAGCUUUCCGUCCUUCCGAAGAUGAUACCGUUGUUGCGUCCCUAGGGUGCCUUUGUACCACCGGCCUGCCACCCCCGCGCAAAAGCCUCUGCUUAAGGGUCGGAUAAGAGGAAGAAACAAAUCCGCCACCUUUGGAUAUGAGAAGACGAGCGAUGGCUGCCGCGAUAACCGACCGAGUGGCUGACACGACAUUCGAGAAGCCUUCAUCAGGACCCGAUAUCGAAUCCGUCCGCCGACGGCCGAGGAUCGAAUAUGCCUUUGACUUUCGAUCGCGGUCAAAUCUGGAUCCCUCGACUUUUCAGAAUUUGAAAAGACGAGACGUGUGUGUACUCUCAUUUUUUCUCUUUGUGUGCACCUUAUACGGGUUACGAUGGAAACGAUAAAAUGUAGGACAAAUUAUAAUAGAGAUGUUUUUUGAUGCUUAAAUGGGAAGGAUAUAUACGAAAGAUACGUUGAAAGCGAGUAUAUACAAAGUUUAUGAGAAACGACAUGGUUGUCUGUAGUUUCAGUUGUGGAAGUGUAAGAACUAGAAAGUAAAAUUUUAAUAAAAAUCCAACUGAUAUUUGCCGACCAUUUUACCUAUCUUAUUCUUCUUUUUUUUCUUUUUCCAGAAAACUCACGAUCCACCUCUCAAAUAACUCAAACUUCAGUGAAGCGGUCACGAAAAUCCCCGACGCAGAGCGGUGUCCGCGCGGAAAUGCAGCCAUCCAUAACUCAGGAAGAAAAAACCCUAACCGGUCCUCUUUGCUCUUAUGAUUUUAAUCCGUGGAAAUUGUGUCGGCAAACACAACGAUUGUUCGUCAGAAGGGAGCGUCCGCGUUUACGUCACACCGCCCAUUCUGAAAAGUAAUCUACACUGUAUUGUUAGCCCCUUGGAAAAAGAGAUUCCACCUUCAACGUCGCUGUACUUACGGCCAGCCGCUGUUCUCUCGCUGUUUAACGCGGCCAGCUUAUGUUCGAUUCGUCCAGGGGGAGAAGGAGCGGGGAGAAGAAAGGAAAGAGAUAGAGAAAGAGGCGCGCGCAGCUUGAUCUGUCACGGGUAUUGAGGAUCGCGGUCGGAUGAUCGCGCGUAAGCACGUUAUUCGCAGCAGCUUUUCAGCCGCGGUAUCGUUGCUUCUUAUAGGGGUUGGCCACUGUGUGCUAGGGAAGAGGAGGGGGCAAGUAAGUCCCGCCACCGUGGCUACGUGGAUUAUCUCUGGGCGGCGCGGACCAACACCGGUUUUUUUCACUACCUGACCGGGUCGACAAGAAUUCCGAGUUACCUGGUUCGAGUUGGGCGCGACAAUGGUUAAAAUUUGCCAGCAAUGGGGCGUUUUUGGUCAGAAGCUUCUUUUAACGGAGAAACAGAGUACCAUUUACAUUUAUUUUUAUUUUGUCAAUUGAAUUCUUACUAUUGAUUUGAUAUGAUGAAAAUGAAACAUUCGUUUUCGUCCAAAUCAAAUUUAAAUUUGAAAUUUAAACAACUUCAUUUUUCCUUAUCUUUUCGCAACUAUCACGUAACAUAGAGUGCACGAAACAAUACCGCCGGAAACGUCUGGAAAAAGAAAGAAAGAAAGAAAGAAAGAAUCGCAGCAGAUAUCCGCGUGCGGUAUCCUUGAUCCUUUCGACGUUGUUGCGAAUCGCAGCUGUGGAUCCAGGCUACCUAAUUUUCGAGAGGGCGUACAGCGAGCGUGAGGGGAGGGAAGGGAGUCAGAAACCACCUGGAAUCCCCGGGAUCAGGGGAGUGAGAGUAUUCGGAUGCGUCGAGCCGUACAACGAGCCGCCGCAGAAUAAGGGAUGCUCUUCCAUCCUGUCCUUGUCCCUCCGACCUUCGAGCAUAGCUCGCGCGCACGUUGCCGUGUUUCACGUUCCAGCUAUGGUAUCCAAUCUAUGGCACUUUUUACAGGGCACGAAUAUACGUGUAUAACUUAAUGCCAUACCCUCAACCGUGCAACCAACCCCUGGCUCGAGGGGUACCAGCGAGACUUAAACACCAGUAUACUUACCGCAUGUUGCCAUAAUGAGUGGAGGGGUAGAAGGGGAUUGGAUUUGGGGGAAGGAAAGCAGAGGGCAGGAGCCCCAGCCCGUUCCUCCUUUUCAUUGAAUGCCGCAAAAGGCAUGAUGCCUCGAAAGAAAGAUUAAAGCGGCCGCGAUCCGAGUGGUAUGGUUUGUUUAUCGGUCGGUUUUUCGCUUUCUUUUUUUUUUUUUUUUCCCUCCUCCCCUUCUUUUUUCAAGGCGGCUCUCCUCCUCCUCGUGGCUUCUCUUCCUCGUUCAGCGCUUCCUCAAACGCGCGGCGCGCGCAUCGCGUUGCAACGAAGCGGCGGACUUUGGUUAAUAUAUAUAUAUGUAUAUAUACAUAUGUACACGCUUUUGAUGCGAGCUUGGCCUUUUUUUUACGUUGAUACUUUCCUUUUUAGUCGGGCGUGUCUUUUUUUUUCUUUGUCGGUUGGUUCUUUCCGAUCGUAUAAAAGAUCUAAUAUGUAUGAUGGAGUGUAUUGAGGUUUUGUUACUUUGUUUUGGCGAGUGUCUUUUAUUAAAAUGAAUCGGGAUAAUAUGGGAUGUAAAUAGUUUCUUUUUUUCUGUAUUCUAGAAGUAAUAUUAUUAUUACUUGCAAAGUAAUAUCAUGUUUAAGAAAAUAAUGAUACGAUUAUAAUUUAAGUCUAAGUUUUAAAUCUAUUGUAGCAGACUUAAGGAACGAUCUUAAGAAUCGCGUAUCUGAAUUCAAUCGAAGAAAAAUUUUCAACGAGAAGACGAUAAAAAGAAACUCUUUUAUCGUGAAUCAACGAGUUCGAUAACGCGCGCACGAUGUUCAUCAAAAUCUUGUCCGGUUAGUUAUUCGGCAAACGUUAGCAGUGCCAUAAUUAUUAUCGAUAUUACACUCUCCGGUUCGUGCACCGCCGCCUGUCUGCAAAAUGUAUUCCUCUGAUGCGCAUACUAACGUGUACAAGGGUUCAAUCGCGGUUUGGCGAGGGGUUGGAAAAUCGGCCAGAGGGAUGCGCGGGGGGAUGUUUCGUAGUAGGGCGGACCAGUGAAGGGAAAACAUGGUGGCCACUGGUUGCGGCAUUCAUCAGAGGCGGUACUCUGCGUACCUUUUGAGAUCUCUCUUCUCUCCGCUCUCUUUUUCGUCCCCCCGCCCCCUUUCUCUUUUUCCCUCUUUCACCACGAUCGUUCACGUGUGUACACGACGAUAGUACUAAAAGGGGGAGGGGGUUUUGUAAGAAGAAAAAAAAAACUUUCCUCCAUUGAGAAUUAUUCGCAAUAAAAAGGGAACCGCCUUUGUCGGCUCCUUUCACCUAAUAUUCCACGAUGCCGGAGGAAAAAAAUCUUCCGCCCGUAUUUACACCUACUUUCGGCUACUUGGAAACGCAUUAUCGCGCUCCUCUCCGAGAGCACGGUCUACGAACGUUUCUGAAAAGUUCCACGAUUUCACGGAUACGCGCGCAGUAAAUGUAUUGUGUCGCUUAAAGGGGCGGUAAAAGGAAUUGUAAUGUCCGUAUUUAGCCAAUUAUUGUUGUUUCGUUUAAGUGGAUUCGAAUCGAUUGGUUGUUUAAUAUUUGCUCAAGUUUUUGAGAUAAAUUUUUCCUACAAAGUUUGCAGAAAAGUAUUUACCCCUGGAACAUCUAUUAUCAAUUCCUUGUGCAUUAGAUACAAAAGAUGGAAUUGUAAAAUUAAUUAAAAUUACUUCAAUUUUUUAAGUAAUUUUAUUUUAUAAUGUUUGAAUAACAUUCAAGUAGUAGUUAUUAUUUGCUCUUCGUACAACUUCGACGGUUGGUAACACGAUACAUCUGCGGUUAUUCGAUGCUUCACAUAUAAUAAAUUAUUAUAAAGUAACUUAUCGAGGUAACUUUAUUUCUAACUUCAAUUAUUAUUAAAAUUUUGUCCAUCCCUGAUAUUUAGUUAUUUAUCACAAUUUCACAAUAUCUUUUUAUUUAUUAUCUAUAAAUAAUUCGAAUAUCGUCACGCGUACGUUAAUUUCUUUUAACAUAAUAAUAAAAGGGAAUAAAAACAAAGACCAAAAAAAAAAAAAAAAAAAGAAAUAAAAAGAUAA